GAUGAACGCUCGCUCCAGGCUUAACACAUGCAAGUCGAGGGGAAACGGCAUCGAAAGCUUGCUUUUGAUGGGCGUCGACCGGCGCACGGGGGAGUAACGCGUAUCCAACCUGCCCAUCACUUGGGAAUAACCUUGCGAAAGUAAGACUAAUGCCCAAUGACAUCCCACGAAGGCAUCCGAAUGGGAUUAAAGAUUUAUCGGUGAUGGAUGGGGAUGCGUCUGAUUAGCUUGUUGGCGGGGUGACGGCCCACCAAGGCAACGAUCAGUAGGGGUUCUGAGAGGAAGGUCCCCCACAUUGGAACGGAGACACGGUCCAAACUCCUACGGGAGGCAGCAGUGAGGAAUAUGGGUCAAGGGGCGAGAGCCUGAACCAGCCAAGUAGCGUGCAGGAUGACGGCCCUAUGGGUUGUAAACUGCUUUUAUAAGGGAAUAAAGUGGGUCACGUGUGACUUUUUGCAUGUACCUUAUGAAUAAGGACCGGCUAAUUCCGUG
Molecule: ribosomal RNA, 492 nt
Filed under: uncultured bacterium
Lineage: Bacteria
Description: partial 16S ribosomal RNA
Rfam family: Bacterial small subunit ribosomal RNA
Source: RNAcentral